CAGCCGCCGCGGGAAUACGUAGGGUGCGAGCGUUAAUCGGAAUUACUGGGCGUAAAGCGUGCGCAGGCGGUUCGUUAAGACAGAUGUGAAAUCCCCGGGCUUAACCUGGGAACUGCAUUUGUGACUGGCGAGCUAGAGUAUGGCAGAGGGGGGUAGAAUUCCACGUGUAGCAGUGAAAUGCGUAGAGAUGUGGAGGAAUACCGAUGGCGAAGGCAGCCCCCUGGGCCAAUACUGACGCUCAUGCACGAAAGCGUGGGGAGCAAACAGGAUUAGAUACCCCUGUAGUCCCUGUCUCUUAUAC
This 301-nucleotide ribosomal RNA is filed under the name uncultured bacterium. RNAcentral's name for it is "partial 16S ribosomal RNA". It matches the Rfam family "Bacterial small subunit ribosomal RNA", at positions 509 to 807 of the family's 1533-position model. The record is from RNAcentral.